Molecule: long non-coding RNA, 1722 nt
Filed under: Lactuca sativa (garden lettuce)
Lineage: Eukaryota; Viridiplantae; Streptophyta; Magnoliopsida; Asterales; Asteraceae
Description: long non-coding RNA (LSAT_LNC001772)
Source: RNAcentral
AUCCACCAUGAAUUCAAAUCAUAUCAUCACAGUGUUUGCGAUUAUCUUCAAGGAAUUUGAAUUUCACCUGUUCUUUCGAGUACCCAAAUUUGGAGAGAUAAUCGAUCGCGUUCAGAACUGCACGCUUAUAAGCAACACUCGCAUCCAGGUAAUGUUGUCUUCCACUUUCAUCAACGCUUAUUCCUUCAAAUACAAGCCAUUCUGAGAAUCUAGGCUCCAUUGGUCCGAUCUCGAAAAUAGGGUUUACAUGAAGAGGAGUAGGUCCCAUUGGAGUUAGGUAUUCUUUCAUCCCCCCUCGUAUUAUCUCACACCUAAUAACCAGUUAAAAUUAGAACAAAGUUUAUCAAUGGCGGUUUAUGAGAUUUGAGAUAGAUGAUUGUACUUGAGCUCAAGGAAUCCACUCAUCUCAAUCGCCCCACAAAACGAAACUUCACCAUCGCCUUGUGAGAAGUGCAUAUCACCUGUACUAAAGUUAGCACCUUCAACAAACACUGGAAGGUAAAUUUUUGAACCUCUACUAAGAUUCUUAAUGUCACAGUUUCCUCCAUUUUCUCUUCCUGGAAUCGUUCUUGCAGCUUCAUUGGCAAUCUUCUCCCAUUCUUGAGUUCCUUCUGGAAUCUAUACAGGUCUCAAUUAGUAAACAUUUUCUCUACUCAUAGUAGUGAUUACAUUACAUUACACUAUUCCAGUACCUUGCCAAGAAGACAGCCUUUUGUUAAUGGGAGAUUCGCCAAUGGCCUUGAAUGUAAAACUUCACAUAACUUUAAUGAUUUUAGACCAUUUUCUUCAAGCUCUCUCUCCCUUUCGUUCCAUAUAUUAAGAAGUUCCAUUGAAGGCGCAGUUCCAAUUAUUCCAGGGUGUGUUAUACCCGGAAAACGUACACCAGGUAUAUGAGGAGAGUAAGCAUAUAUUCCUUCAAAAUACCAAAUUGCUUUCGUGGCACAAGGGAAAUGAUCAGUGAGAAACCCGCCACCGUUUUCUCUGUCAAAAAUCGCCGUAAACCCCCAUUCAUCGCCGGGAAGAGGACCUAAAUUGCAUAUCUCAACCACAAGAAGAUCCCCUGGUUUAGCCGCUUCUCCUUCCUCAUCAACAACCCUAAUCGGCCCACUCAGAUAAUGCACCUGAAAAUCGAUUUUAUUUUAUCAAAUCAUAUUUACAUACAGAAUCUAUGAAACUAAUAAAUUAUUAUGAUUCAUACAGUUCCCGAGAGUUGACUUAUCUUAUAAAUUAAUUCCAUACAAAUUCUCUACACUUACAGUCGAAAGGUCUAAGUGUUUAACAUCACUAGCGGAAUUGUCAUCUUUUAUAGCACCUGCGGUCCAGUCCACCAUCUCCACCCUGAAAACUUCUCCGGUCUUAACGGCGGCAACCGGUGGUAUCUCAGGGUGCCAACGAUUAUGUAAUGGUAGCUUUUGCUCCCAUGGCUUCUUUUUUAGGUCAAUAGGUACCACUAGUUUUGGUGUUCUAGGAGCCAUAGAUGAAUUUUUUGUGAAUUGUGACUAUGUGUAAGUAAGAAACUAAAGAACUAAGAAGAUAUGAUAAUGAUAAUAUGAUAAUAUGAUAAUCGUUUUCAGGGAGACGUUGACUCCAUUUUGGGCUUAAUUGUUAAUUGGGUUAUUGGGCCUAAUUGUGAUUGGUUGAAAUUGAACGGAUUUAAAAGCAUGAUGACUCACAACAGACUGAUCGGAGUAUUUGAUGUCUUCGGCUGUGUAUUCUUUGGUG